RNAcentral lists this microRNA precursor (102 nucleotides) under Marmota monax (woodchuck). The record is from RNAcentral. Lineage: Eukaryota; Metazoa; Chordata; Mammalia; Rodentia; Sciuridae.
AAUGGAAUUGCUGGAACAUUUGGUCAUUCUAUGUUUAACUUUUUGAGAAACUGCUAAAUUAUUUCCCACACCAGCUGCACCACUUUCAUUCCCACCAGCCAU